UACGUAGGGUGCAAGCGUUGUCCGGAAUUAUUGGGCGUAAAGAGCUCGUAGGCGGUUUGUCACGUCGGCUGUGAAAUCCCGAGGCUCAACCUCGGGCCUGCAGUCGAUACGGGCAAACUAGAGUGUGGUAGGGGAGACUGGAAUUCCUGGUGUAGCGGUGAAAUGCGCAGAUAUCAGGAGGAACACCGAUGGCGAAGGCAGGUCUCUGGGCAUUAACUGACGCUGAGGAGCGAAAGCAUGGGGAGCGAACAGG
Molecule: ribosomal RNA, 253 nt
Filed under: uncultured bacterium
Lineage: Bacteria
Description: partial 16S ribosomal RNA
Rfam family: Bacterial small subunit ribosomal RNA
Source: RNAcentral